AUACUUACCUGGCAGGGGAGAUACCAUGAUCAUGAAGGAAGUUUGCCCAGGGCGAGGCUUAUCCAAUGCACUCCGGAUAUGCUGACCCCUGCAAUUUCCCCAAAUGUGGGAAACUCGACUGCAUAAUUUGUGGUAGUGGGAGACUGCGUUCGCGCUCUCCCCUG
Molecule: small nuclear RNA, 164 nt
Organism: Echinops telfairi (small Madagascar hedgehog)
Lineage: Eukaryota; Metazoa; Chordata; Mammalia; Afrosoricida; Tenrecidae
Gene: U1
Rfam family: U1 spliceosomal RNA
About the family: U1 is a small nuclear RNA (snRNA) component of the spliceosome (involved in pre-mRNA splicing). Its 5' end forms complementary base pairs with the 5' splice junction, thus defining the 5' donor site of an intron.
Source: Ensembl